Molecule: non-coding RNA, 89 nt
Organism: Mycena latifolia
Lineage: Eukaryota; Fungi; Basidiomycota; Agaricomycetes; Agaricales; Mycenaceae
Source: the annotation of a GenBank genome assembly
GACCUAGUGGUGAAUGGAUUACAUCUGCUCUCCAUCAUGCUUCUUCUAACGUACAGCAGGAGCCCCCGGUUCGACUCCGGGCUAGGUCA